CCCCUAGUAACUGCGAGUGAAGCGGGAAGAGCUCAAAUUUGAAAUCUGGCGUGCCUCCGGUCGUCCGAGUUGUAGUCUGGAGAAGCGUUUUCCGUGUUGGACCGUGUAUAAGUCUCUUGGAACAGGGCGUCAUAGAGGGUGAGAAUCCCGUCUUUGACACGGACUACCAAUGCUUUGUGAUGCGCUCUCAAAGAGUCGAGUUGUUUGGGAAUGCAGCUCAAAAUGGGUGGUAAAUUCCAUCUAAAGCUAAAUACAGGCGAGAGACCGAUAGCGAACAAGUACCGUGAGGGAAAGAUGAAAAGCACUUUGGAAAGAGAGUUAAACAGUACGUGAAAUUGCUGAAAGGGAAACGCUUGAAGUCAGUCACAUCUGCCAGGACUCAGCCUCGCUUCUGCUUGGUGCACUUUCUGGUUUGAUGGGCCAACAUCAAUUUUGACCGUUGGAGAAAGGCCUUGGGAAUGUGGCACCUUUUGGUGUGUUUAUAGCCCUUUGUUAUAUACAACGGUUGGGAUUGAGGAAUGCAGCAUGCCUUUAUGGCUGGGGCCUUUGCCUACACACAUGCUUAGGAUGUUGGCAUAAUGGCUUUAAGCGACCCGUCUUGAAACACGGACCAAGGAGUCUAACAUGCCUGCGAGUGUUUGGGUGGAAAACCCAUACGCGUAAUGAAAGUGACAGCUGAGAUCCUCUCAUCA
This 692-nucleotide ribosomal RNA is filed under the name Thelephora dominicana. Its description in RNAcentral is "eukaryotic LSU rRNA". It matches the Rfam family "Eukaryotic large subunit ribosomal RNA", at positions 77 to 751 of the family's 3401-position model. The record is from RNAcentral. Lineage: Eukaryota; Fungi; Basidiomycota; Agaricomycetes; Thelephorales; Thelephoraceae.